Molecule: ribosomal RNA, 116 nt
Filed under: Bacillus subtilis
Lineage: Bacteria; Bacillati; Bacillota; Bacilli; Caryophanales; Bacillaceae
Source: RNAcentral
UCUGGUGAUGAUGGCGAAGAGGUCACACCCGUUCCCAUGCCGAACACGGAAGUUAAGCUCUUCAGCGCCGAUGGUAGUCGGGGGUUUCCCCCUGUGAGAGUAGGACAUCGCCAAGC